GGUUCUUCUGCUUCUUGGUGCUCCAGAAGGGGCUGGUGGAGGUGGGAGAGAGGACUCUGUACAGAAGCCAUAAAGAGAGCGCUCUCUCCUUGAGUCACACGUGGGAAGUGGCCCUCAACUCCUGGGGCCCUCCAAGGUCCUGGGACCAGGGAGCUACUGCUGGAGCAGAAGGCUGGAGACAUCUUCAACAGCCUGAGUGCCGUCCGUGACAGGCCUACUAAGCGCCAGGUGCUGGGUAGAGAGACUGCAAAAUUUUCAUCAACAUGGAAA
Molecule: long non-coding RNA, 270 nt
Filed under: Pongo abelii (Sumatran orangutan)
Lineage: Eukaryota; Metazoa; Chordata; Mammalia; Primates; Hominidae
Description: lncRNA (ENSPPYG00000030157.1)
Source: RNAcentral